RNAcentral lists this unclassified non-coding RNA (380 nucleotides) under Hevea brasiliensis (rubber tree). Lineage: Eukaryota; Viridiplantae; Streptophyta; Magnoliopsida; Malpighiales; Euphorbiaceae. The record is from RNAcentral.
CCGUCGGAGAAUAUUCAAAUUCUGUUCAGGGGGAAUUUGUGUGUUUUGGGGGGGUGCGGGUAGAGGGGCUGUACCGGUGAAUGGUGGCGAUCAAUUAACUGGGAUUUAGGAGCUUUUCUUUGCCCUAGUUGGAAGAGAGGAGAGGAGUUCUGCUACAAUUGAUCUCUGCAUAUGAUCAUGCCUAUUCAUCUCCCACUCCCAACAUCCUUAUAAUUCAAGAAUUUCUUCCACCCCCCCCCCCCCCCACCCAAAAAAAAAAUCGCCCCCUCCCCGUGCCCCCGCCUUUUUGGUUUGGGCCCUGAGGCCCCCCUCACCCUACUUUUCCUUUUAAAUGUUUGAAGAUUUAUUACAUAAUGUAUUUCUCAUUAAUUUUCCCCACA